GUGGGGAAUAUUGGACAAUGGGCGGAAGCCUGAUCCAGCCAUGCCGCGUGUGUGAAGAAGGUCUUCGGAUUGUAAAGCACUUUAAGUUGGGAGGAAGGGCAGUAAGCUAAUACCUUGCUGUUUUGACGUUACCGACAGAAUAAGCACCGGCUAACUUCGUGCCAGCAGCCGCGGUAAUACGAAGGGUGCAAGCGUUAAUCGGAAUUACUGGGCGUAAAGCGCGCGUAGGUGGUUCAGUAAGUUGGAGGUGAAAUCCCCGGGCUCAACCUGGGAACUGCCUCCAAAACUACUGAGCUAGAGUACGGUAGAGGGUAGUGGAAUUUCCUGUGUAGCGGUGAAAUGCGUAGAUAUAGGAAGGAACACCAGUGGCGAAGGCGACUACCUGGACUGAUACUGACACUGAGGUGCGAAAGCGUGGGGAGCAAACAGGAUUAGAUACCCUUGUAGUCC
RNAcentral lists this ribosomal RNA (450 nucleotides) under uncultured bacterium. Its description in RNAcentral is "partial 16S ribosomal RNA". It matches the Rfam family "Bacterial small subunit ribosomal RNA", at positions 354 to 796 of the family's 1533-position model. The record is from RNAcentral.